This 241-nucleotide ribosomal RNA is filed under the name uncultured bacterium. RNAcentral's name for it is "partial 16S ribosomal RNA". It matches the Rfam family "Bacterial small subunit ribosomal RNA", at positions 524 to 765 of the family's 1533-position model. The record is from RNAcentral.
UACGGAGGGAGCUAGCGUUGUUCGGAAUUACUGGGCGUAAAGCGCACGUAGGCGGCUUUGUAAGUUAGAGGUGAAAGCCCGGGGCUCAACCCCGGAAUUGCCUUAAGACUGCAUCGCUUGAAUCCGGGAGAGGUGAGUGGAAUUCCGAGUGUAGAGGUGAAAUCGUAGAUAUUCGGAAGAACACCAGUGGCGAAGGCGGCACACUGGACCGGUAUUGACGCUGAGGUGACGAAAGCGUGGG